Molecule: non-coding RNA, 819 nt
Organism: Peromyscus maniculatus bairdii (prairie deer mouse)
Lineage: Eukaryota; Metazoa; Chordata; Mammalia; Rodentia; Cricetidae
Source: RefSeq, a predicted model, not a curated record
UCUGGGGUUGCCUACCAGUAAGCCUGUCACAGAAGCUGUGUCUGGGCCCCUAAGCCUGUCAUGGCAGCUGUGUGGUCACGCUGUUUGGGGCCCCUCCACAGAAACAAGUGAACUUUAAACUCUACCCCCACCCCCACAACAUACAGUGACAUACUUCUAACAGCAAAGCCAUCUAUCCCGCGCCUCCUCAGCUACCAACUGAGCAACAAGGAUUAACUGCACGGCCACGGGGGACAUCUCAUUCAAGCCUCCGCAGGGAAGCGCUGGGAGGGGUGAGGGACCUCCAGGGGGUGGAGUUUUGCCAGGGAAAUACAUCACUGGAGGUGGACUUUGAGAGUGGGUAGCCCUGCCCUGUUGAGAUAUUUUGUUUGUGUUCUAACAAAGUCUGCCUGAGGAGCAGAGGAUGGAGCUAGCCACUAGUUUACCAUUGAGGUCUGGAGGUCUGUACAGACAGGAGACAGGAAGUGAUAUGGCUGGGUGGAGAGAGGAAGUGAUAAGGCGGGUUGGAGUCGCAAGCUCCGCCCCUUUUCCGUCUGAGGAGUCGGAGAGCAAGGCCUUACUGCUGGACAACACCUACAAGACCCAUUGAACAUGGAGAAGUUGAGCUGGUGCUUACCUAGAGCCUUCACCCUUAUGGACUAGUAUUCAUGGUCCUGGAAGAUACUCUGCACCCUACCAAGGGACAAAGGAGGACAUGGCAGUGGCGGCAGCAGUGACAAGGAUGAAGUCUUAGCCUUGGUGUUAGAGGCAUCUCUUGGUACAGUCAACAUCCAAGGCCAACCAUCACAUGCAGGGUGGCACAAAAGACAUUAUACAGGC